Molecule: transfer RNA, 54 nt
Filed under: Hypselodoris bullockii
Lineage: Eukaryota; Metazoa; Mollusca; Gastropoda; Nudibranchia; Chromodorididae
Description: tRNA-Tyr
Source: RNAcentral
GAUGGCUGAAUUUUAGGCGAUAAAUUGUAAAUUUAUUUAUGACUUUAUGUCUCA